UGACAACUUCUCCGGAAUCUCUGUACUACCAUGAUGAUAUCCUUUUGAACCCCUUUUUCUGAUGACUGUCUGGC
Molecule: small nucleolar RNA, 74 nt
Organism: Osmerus eperlanus (European smelt)
Lineage: Eukaryota; Metazoa; Chordata; Actinopteri; Osmeriformes; Osmeridae
Product: small nucleolar RNA MBII-202
Exons: 1
Source: RefSeq, a predicted model, not a curated record